GCAAUGUGCAAGCCGCCGAGUACUUUCUAUUUUAUGUAUAUUUGAUAUUUGUUUGCUUUAUGCGAGUAUUUUGAACUUGUACUUGACUUGUCGAAACAAAUACUUAUUAUUUCGAGUAUUUGUCAAAAAUAUGUUACUUGCAAUUUACUUGUCUCACUCAAUUACUUGUUUCUUUCAAGUACUUGUGAAUUAUUUGAAAAUAUUUCUAAGUUUAUAAAAAUUAAUUGCUAGAUGAUAUUCUAUUAGAGAGGGAUAUGAAAGCUGUUUUUGUUUAUUCUACUUGAAACAAACAAGAGAGUUACUCCAAACAUAAUAUUUUUACUUCUUAUAAAGAAGAAAUUAUGACAUGAAA
This 352-nucleotide long non-coding RNA is filed under the name Brassica napus (rape). RNAcentral describes it as "long non-coding RNA (BNAP_LNC006822)". The record is from RNAcentral. Lineage: Eukaryota; Viridiplantae; Streptophyta; Magnoliopsida; Brassicales; Brassicaceae.